RNAcentral lists this ribosomal RNA (518 nucleotides) under uncultured bacterium. RNAcentral's name for it is "bacterial SSU rRNA". It matches the Rfam family "Bacterial small subunit ribosomal RNA", at positions 8 to 518 of the family's 1533-position model. The record is from RNAcentral.
AGAGUUUGAUUCUGGCUCAGGAUGAACGCUAGCUACAGGCUUAACACAUGCAAGUCGAGGGGCAGCAUUGGGGUAGCAAUACUCAGAUGGCGACCGGCGCACGGGUGGGUAACACGUAUCCAACCUGCCGCUUACUCGGGGAUAGCCUUUCGAAAGAAAGAUUAAUACCCGAUGGUAUAAAGAGUUCGCAUGUUCUCUUUAUUAAAGAAUUUCGGUAAGCGAUGGGGAUGCGUUCCAUUAGAUAGUUGGCGGGGUAACGGCCCACCAAGUCUACGAUGGAUAGGGGUUCUGAGAGGAAGGUCCCCCACAUUGGAACUGAGACACGGUCCAAACUCCUACGGGAGGCAGCAGUGAGGAAUAUUGGUCAAUGGACGAGAGUCUGAACCAGCCAAAGUAGCGUGAAGGAUGACUGCCCUAUGGGUUGUAAACUUCUUUUAUAAGGGAAUAAAGUGAGGGACGUGUCCCUUUUUGUAUGUACCUUAUGAAUAAGGAUCGGCUAACUCCGUGCCAGCCGCCGC